CGCAGGAACUUGACCAUUUCGUCACUCCUGGCGGAACCGUUAGAUGCACUAGGUGAGCGAUCGCUGGGCCCGCAGGAGCCCGUUCGGCUCUACAGGUUCCUACCUGGGGAUAUCGGAAAGGCCUGAGAUAUGACAGCUGGGGCCUGGGGCCUGUGCGGCAGGAAGAGGGAAAGCUGUAGAAUUUUCUUUUCCAUUCCCUGUGCGUGGUGCUGAUGGGGAAAGGGGUGACCUCGUACCUGACCAGAUUGGGCACCAAGAAACACCUGCCCCAGUUCUUCCUUUCUCCAUGUGAGGGCCCCAGAAGAGGAGGGACGGAUGGAUGAUGAACUCCUACAAGCAAUGUCCAAGAUCUGGAAUCAGUGUGUGAGACCAAGAUAUUAUCUCAAAAGAAAUUUCAGUCAAGUAAUAUUUACCCUCAGAGACAUACCUACUUUUAUUCAGUCCACAAUUUGUAUUCCACAUCAAAAAACAUGGCUCAACUGGUAGAGCAUCUGCCUACCAUAUAGGAGGGUCCAGGGUUCAAGACCCAGGGCCUCCUGACCCAUGUGGUGAGCUGGUCCAUGAGCAGAGCUGCCAUGUGCAGGGAGUGCUGUGCCACGCAGGGGUGCCCCCACGUGGGGGUGCCCCAUGCACAAGGAGUAUACCCUGCAAGAGAGCCACCCUGCAUGAAAAAAGUGCAGCCUGCCCAUUAGUGGCGCUGCACACACGGAAAGCUGACACAGCAAGAUGACACGACAAAAAAGAGAUGCAGUUUCCUGGUGCCACCAAGGGUGCAAACAGACACAGAACACACAGCAAAAGGACACAGAGAGCAGACAAUGGGGACAAGGGGAGAGAAAUUAAUUUAAAUAAAUAAUAAGUAAAAUUAUUAAUGAAGAGAAACCCUGUGAAUGU
RNAcentral lists this long non-coding RNA (894 nucleotides) under Dasypus novemcinctus (nine-banded armadillo). Its description in RNAcentral is "lncRNA (ENSDNOG00000051392.1)". The record is from RNAcentral. Lineage: Eukaryota; Metazoa; Chordata; Mammalia; Cingulata; Dasypodidae.